CCUACGGGUGGCAGCAGUGAGGAAUAUUGGUCAAUGGGCGCGAGGCUGAACCAGCCAAGUAGCGUGAAGGAUGACUGCCCUACGGGUUGUAAACUUCUUUUAUAAGGGAAUAAAGUGAGCCACGUGUGCCUUUUUGUAUGUACUUUAUGAAUAAGCAUCGGCUAACUCCGUGCCAGCAGCCGCGGUAAUACGGAGGAUCCGAGCGUUAUCCGGAUUUAUUGGGUUUAAAGGGAGCGUAGAUGGGUUGUUAAGUCAGUUGUGAAAGUUUGCGGCUCAACCGUAAAAUUGCAGUUGAUACUGGAAGACUUGAGUACAGUUGAGGUAGGCGGAAUGCGUGGUGUAGCGGUGAAAUGCUUAGAUAUCACGAAGAACUCCGAUUGCGAAGGCAGCUUACUAAGCUGCCACUGACAUUGAUGCUCGAAAGUGUGGGUAUCAAACAGGAUUAGAUACCCUUGUAGUC
Molecule: ribosomal RNA, 460 nt
Filed under: uncultured bacterium
Lineage: Bacteria
Description: partial 16S ribosomal RNA
Rfam family: Bacterial small subunit ribosomal RNA
Source: RNAcentral